This 220-nucleotide ribosomal RNA is filed under the name uncultured bacterium. Its description in RNAcentral is "partial 16S ribosomal RNA". It matches the Rfam family "Bacterial small subunit ribosomal RNA", at positions 15 to 226 of the family's 1533-position model. The record is from RNAcentral.
GAUCAUGGCUCAGGAUGAACGCUAGCUACAGGCUUAACACAUGCAAGUCGAGGGGCAGCAUGGUCUUAGCUUGCUGAGGCUGAUGGCGACCGGCGCACGGGUGAGUAACACGUAUCCAACCUGCCGUCUACUCUUGGACAGCCUUCUGAAAGGAAGAUUAAUACAAGAUGGCAUCAUGAGUCCGCAUGUUCACAUGAUUAAAGGUAUUCCGGUGGACGAG